AACGAACGCUGGCGGCGUGCCUAACACAUGCAAGUCGAACGAGAAAGGGGCUUCGGCUCCGAGUAAAGUGGCGCACGGGUGAGUAACACGUGGGUAACCUGCCUCUAAGAUUGGGACAACUCGUCGAAGAUGAGCUAAUACCGAAUAAGACCACAGUUCCUGCGGGAACAGGGGUCAAAGGUAGCCUCUGCUUGCAAGCUAUCACUUAGAGAUGGGCCUGCGCACCAUUAGCUAGUUGGUAGGGUAACGGCCUACCAAGGCAAAGAUGGUUAGCUGGUCUGAGAGGAUGAUCA
Molecule: ribosomal RNA, 293 nt
Filed under: uncultured bacterium
Lineage: Bacteria
Description: partial 16S ribosomal RNA
Rfam family: Bacterial small subunit ribosomal RNA
Source: RNAcentral